CCUCAGGCUGGAAGAACCAUUCAGGUGCAGGAGACCCAAACUGCAGCCUCUCAAAAUUGUGAGCUAAAACAAUGUUUUCCUUUUCUUUUUUUCUUUUUGUUGUUGUUCUGAGCCAUUUGGUGUUGAAGUGUUUUGUUAUGUAGCAAAAGUUAACUGCCACAGAUAUUUUCCCAAGGGUUCUUCUAGAGUCUAGUACCGCUGGUGAGAUCAUGAGUGUUGGGAUUUUAGGGAUAGUUUUCUGGCUAGCCAUGUGUAAUUUGGGUAAUCUGGGCUAGGAGGUGGGGUCUAUUGCCAGCCAUGCUCUGUGGCCCCUGGGAGUAUAGGCUUUGGGGUCAAACUGACCUUGAUUCAAAUCAUGGCAAGGCGUCACUGUGGAGAAACAACUGUAAUCACACCAAAAUCCCAAUGGCUUCACACCCUAAAGAUAUAUUUCUAUUUUAUGUCACAGCCCACCCAUAUAUUUAUAUAUUUGUUGUCCCAUACCUCUGUGCUAAUCUACAGAUCUGGCUGGGGGCUGGCUAGUCUAAGAGGACUUAGCUAGUUGGCUUGUUCCACUCCAUGUGGUAUCUCGCCCUCCAGCUGGCCAGCUUGCGUUUGAUCACACUUGUAUAUAGAGAUUCAGGGAUCCAUGCUCCUUCCAUCUAUUGUGUUCUCUGAGUCCUCCACUGGAUUCUCUGUCUCCAGCCAGGAGACAUGGAGAAUCUGAUAGGACUUAUUUUAGCUGCUUAGGUUGGAAAUGUCAAGAAUCACUUCUUGCUUCAUUCCACUGGCUAGAACGAGUGGCAUGUCCCCACCUAGAUGCAAGGGGACUGGGAACAUGAGCCACCAGUUUACCAAGGAAAGAAAGAAGACAGAUAUUGGUGAGAUCCAGAAGUCUGUCCUAGGCAGCAAUUCACUAACUAGGUACUCAGGCAAGUUAUUUGACUUUUCUGGUAGUCAAAUUAUCCCAUGUGGGUUGUGCAAUCUAUGCAGAAGUGGCCUCAGUCCAGUAUAGGUCUUUUCAUUCUGAUCUGUGUCCAUGCACACUGGGAACUGAGGCCGUUUAGUGUCACAUCACUAUGCUGUUGUUUUUCAGAGCCAGGCUCUAUCUGGCAUACCAAGGACAGGGCUGUGGGAAUGGUCUACCCUGAAUGUAGGUGAUGAGUGGGUGUAUUUUCUAUAGAGACACUUUUAAAAUUAUAAAGCUAAUUGAAAGCUGGUCUGUUUUUUAUUAUCAUCAUAUGCCAGCAAAUAAUAGUAAAACACUCCUUCUUAAAAGAAAAAUUGAUAUGUAAGGGCUAAACAAUUACUAUGCUACUAUUGAGAUUGAAUGAUAUUAUCAUUAGCUAGAAUUGGCCCCUAACCCAACAGUCCUUUGGUUUCGAGAGUACAUGAGAGAAGCAUUUGGACUUCAGAUUCAUUUGAGCAUAUUUUCAAAUGCUCUCUCUAGUCACUCUGUUUCACUGUUUUAAACAUUUUUUCCUUCUUUUUUGGCCACACCCACAGCAUAGGAAAGUUCCUGGGCCAAGGAUCUUACUGGAGCUGCAGGUGUGACCUACACCACAGAUGUGGCAAUGCCAGAUUCUUAACCCACUGUGCUGGCUGGGGAUCAAAUGCACACUACCACAGACAAUGCUGGAUCAUUAACUAACUGCACCCAGAAGGAAUUCCCACUGUUUUAAACUUUUAAGUACAAAUUAAAAAAAAACUACAAGUGGUCACAUAGAACAACAAAACUAAAGGAACUCAAGUUCUCAGCCAUCAUCUACACAAGCACUGUUUAUUUGUCAUGGCUUAAAGGCAGGAAUAUCCAGCACCACAGGUGUUGGAGACACAAGCUAUUCCCAAAGGGAGCUUGACUUAUGUCAAACCAUUUAUGAGCUUAUUGGGAGUUCACCAAGUUCAAUCCCAUAUAGAAUAUAGUACCUACUCAAAGGAUAAAUGUCUUAGUCAACUUGGGCUGUUAUUAAAAAAAAAAUACCACUGACUGGGUAGCUCAAACAACAGAUAUUUAUUUAUCAUAGUUUUGGAGGCUGGGAAUCCAAAGUGAAGAUGCUGGCCAGUUUGGUUUUUGGUAAGGGCUCUCUUCCUGGCUUGAAGAUGGCUGCCUUGCUGCUGUAUCCUCAUGUGGUAGAGAAACAAAGCUCUGAUGUCUAUACUUUUACUUAUAAGGGCACGAGUCCCAUCACGAAGGCUCUAUCUUCAUGCCAUCAUCUAAACCUCAUCACCUUUCCAAAGCCUCAACUUAUAAUAUUACAUUGGGGUUAGGUCUUCAAUAAAUAAGUUUGAGAUGGUACACAAACAUUCCGUCCGUAACAAUAAGUAGUGACAUUGUACUCCUUUGAAAAUAAUUUGGGGGGAAGUCAGAAAAUGAUCUGUUUUGGGUUCUCAUUUACUCACUUAGUUACUGGCUACUCCACAAAGAAGUGGUCUUUGGUAUCCUGUCCUUGCUAGCAAUCCAUUCUCCCCUGUGUUUCCUGGAUUCUCCUGGUGUAUUGGGAUCUUCAUAGGAAGCAGGGUGACUUGACAGGCCUGCAGAAUUCCAAGUCUCAGAUCUAGACAUUGAUUGUGGCCUGGACGGCCCUCUUCACUGGCUGGUGGGGUAAGGUUGUGUUGAAGCCAAGGGGGUCAAGUAUGGAAGCAGAUCAUCGGCUCCUGAAUCCCCACCCUUCUCUCUCUCUUAUCCUUAGCCUGCUGCUCAUUCUUUUCAUUUUUUUAAAUUAACCACUGGCUGCCUAUCACAUAGCCCUGUUCAAUUGUCCUCUUAUCCCAAUGAGUAAGUCCAAAUCUGGAUGGAUCUAUUCUUCCCACACACGACUCCUUUUCCAAGUGUCCCGCAUUCUUCCUUCUUGUUUUUGUUAUUGAUGGCACCAUUAUUCUCCCAGUUUCACUAAUCUUUGGCAUGUUUCUUAUUCAUUUUCUAUAGUUCACCAAGAUCUAUAAUCAAAUUCCUUCCUUUUCCAUCUACACUGGUUUGGACCUAGGUCAACUUGCAUCUAAGAUUGUGUCUCACUAACCCUAAUUUCUGCUGCCAAAUGAACCCUCCCACAUACCACUUUCAUCAUGUAACUGCUCCCCCAAGAGUUUGCAAUGGUUUUCUGCUGCUAUUGCAGCAAAACUACUUCCCCUGAGGCUUGAGGAGGCUGGAGCCAAUGACAAAGAGACUAAAAAAUUUUCAACUAAAUGUCCCAACUUUCAGUUAAAGAUGUUUUUCCCUAAUUCUAAAUUCUCUGAUUCUUCAGGGGCUAACAUAUGAGUGGGGCAAAGGAGACCCCAUUUUUCCUCCACACACAAGAACAGUGUGCUGCCAGAUAUAGGGGCUCAACAAAUAUUUCUUGAGUGGAGAAAAGAACUUUACAGAUAGUAUAUAAAAAUAUAACUCACUCAAAUAGAAUUUUUUCAUAUUCAUUCAUUGAUGAAUGACCACAUGUAGAGUCUACGUAGAGAGGGAGAAACUUGAUACGGAAGCCACAUCAUCCCAGCAGCCUAGUGAGCCUCCAGAUAAACCUGUGCCAAGCUGCCAUCUGACUGCAAGCACACCAGAGGCCCCAAAUGAAACCACCAGAAGAACUGCCCACUGAGCCUAGUCUACCUUUGGAAUCACGAAAGAUAAAGUCAUUGUUUUAAGCCAUUGAAUUGGGGUGGUUUGUUAUACAGCAGUAGAUAGCCAAAAAGACAUAUCCAUUCAUUGAAAUUUAUGUAUCCAUCCGUGUCUGAUACUGUGUUAGGUGAAGUGGAUGCAAAACUAAAUACUGCAUUGAUGCUGAACUCUUUUUAUAUGUUUGUUAAUGAAAAAUCUUUGUAAAUGGAAGUGUUUUCAUGUUUUGCUUUAAAGGUGAAAACAUUUCAGUAUAAAAUAUAUUUGUAGCAAGUCGUUUUGUAAAAAGGAAUAAUCACUGAGGUUGUUUGUAUUUUUAACUUUUUGAAGUGACAGUUUUUAGGUAGUGAAACACAUGAGAGCUUUUAUUUAUUUGUUUGUUUGUUUAUUUAUUUAUUUAUGUUUGCUUUUCUUUUUUUUUAGGGCCGCACCUGAGGCAUAUGGAAAUUCCCAGGCUAGGGGCUGAAUUGGAGCUGUAGCUGCUGGCCUAUGCCACAGCCACAGCAACUCAGGAUCUGAGCUGCUUCUGAAACCUACACCACAGCUCACAGCAGCACCAGAUCCCUGAUCCACUGAGAGAGGCCAGGGAUUGAACCGCAUUCCUCAUGGAUACUAGUCGGAUUCAUUUCCACCGUGCCACAAAGGGAACUCCCAGAGCUUUUAAUAAUAGAAUUUAAUUCAACAAAUAUUUCUGAGCACUUACUAUGUGCUUCCUCUCUAUAUUUUAAAAACCCACGUUGAGGAGUUCCUGUUGUGGCUCAGUGGUUAUAAACCCAACUAGUAUCCAUGAGAAUGCGGGUCUGAUACCUGCUCAGUGGGUUAAGGAUCUGGCAUUGCCAUGAGCUGUGGUAUCGGACCUGGUGUUGCUGUGGCUGUGGUGUAUAGGCCGGCAGCUGCAACACUGAUUUGACCUCUAGUCUGGGAACUUCCAUAUGCCAUGGGUGCAGCCCUUAAAAGCAAAAUAAAUAAAUAAAUAAAUAAAUAAACUAACAAACAAAAAAUUCUCAUUGAAAUUCAGGUGCUGUUUCCCACCUGCCAUCUAUUUGUUUUCAUGGGGCUUGUCCUAAGUUACUUGGGGGAAUUCUGUUUUUGUCUAUUAACACAUAUACGUGUUACUGUCACGCAUCCUCUAGCUCUUUUCUUAUUGCUUCAGUAAGAAUUAUAUUCAGUUGUUCAGUUUCUAAAUGGCUUAAUUAGCAGAACUUUCCAUGUUUUUUUUUUUCUUUAGAAUUCUCUCAGUCUUCAGUUAGUUGGACUCCCUUCUCAUUACUCUCUUUUCUUCCCUGAGUUUUACUCAACAUUCGGCUAAUGAGUUCACGAUCCUCUCUUGUCCCACCAUGGAUUGCAACCGAGGCAUUUGGAGGCUUCCUUGCCUUAAUUAUUGGGGGAAAAAAAUCCCUUCUUGGUCUUUUCUCCUUAGACUCUGCUGGCUCUGAGUUUCCAGCUCUUAUCUCUCACUGUCUUUGUUUUUUAUAGAAAUAAGAGACCGUAAAGCAGAGAGAAGCCAUGGAGAUCAUAUAAUUUUAUGGAUGAUCAAACUUUGGUCAGAGAGCCAAGUGACUUGCUCAAAGAACCAUAGUCAGUUAGUGGCAGAGCCCCGGCUAGAACCAAGAUGUCCAAACCAAGGAGUUCUGGCUUCAUUAAAGUAAUGAAUGCACUUUCAGACCAUGUUAAACUAAUGCAAACAGAGUAACUGAUACUUGAUCUAGCAGUUUUAUUUGCAAUUAAUUAAUGGGUUUUAAUUAAAUCUCGAUUCUCAGUCUCGGGCUACAACUGCACAAAAUAAAAGGAAAAAUAAAGAGAAGUACAGUGGGCUCAGAAGCUGUAAGGUGUACAGCAGCAGUUAAAAAUAUUUUUUUAGGAGUUCCCAUCGUGGCGCAGUGGUUAAUAAAUCCGACUAGGAACCAUGAGGUUGUGGGUUAGGUCCCUGCCCUUGCUCAUUGGGUUAAUGAUCUGGCGUUGCCGUGAGCUGUGGUGUAAGUUGCAGACGUGGCUCGGAUCCCGCGUUGCUGUGGCUCUGGCGUAGGCCGGUGGCUACAGCUCCGAUUCGACCCCUAGCCUGGGAACCUCCAUAUGCCGCGGAAGUGGCCCAAGAAAUUAAAAAAAAAAUUUUUUUUUUAUUGUUUAGGGUUUUGAUUAACACUUUGAGCCUCUCAUUAAUCUAUUCUAUAAAUAUUUAUUGACUAUUAUGUGCAUACCUGUAUGCACAUGUGUGCCCAUUAAACAUGCAUGCAAUUCCCUUCUUUUAAGGAGACACUGUGCAAUACAGUGUCAAUAUCCUCAUAAAUAUCUUUAUAAUUAACACAUGCAAGUUAAUGUCCGUAGCAAUGUAGCACUAAUUGGUUGCUUUUUUUUUUUUUUUUUGGAAAAUGGACACUUUGACUUCUUACAGAUAGUUUAUUUUCUUCAUUAUUCCCAUGUCUCCAAUUCUUAGGAGCAUCUGAUCCUUUUAUUUCAGAGUGGAGGACCUCAAACUCAAAUGCCUUCAAGAGCCAUGCAGUUAAAGUAAAUAAGUGAAGCAGGCUUGGUAUUACCCAGUUGGAAUCCUGGGGACUGUGGCAGCACUGAGACUACAACUACCAUUUCAGGGGUGCAGUGGCCCCUCCAUGUCAAGUGAUUUUUGUCAUGUGGGAAUUCAAGGGUCAAUAUUUCAAUUUCAAGAACUUUUUUUGGUCAUGCCUGUGGUAUAUGAAAGUUCCCAGGCCAGGGAUUGAACCAGUGCCACAGCAGUGACCCAAAUUGCUCUAGUGACAAUGCUGAAUCCUUAACCCACUGGGCCAAAAGAGACUUCCUAGAACAACUGUGUUUUAAAAAGGGGCUGGAAGUCUUUAUUUUUUAUGUGAAAUCUGUUGAUUUCUAAAAUUGGGGUGGUUAAUUAAAAAUAUUUAAAACCACCAGCCAAAUAAUAUGUGGUUUACUAAAUUCAAAUCCUGGGCAUAUAAUUUGUCCUACCACCACUAUAAGCCUUUUCCAUUGACAGAGACAAAUGGUAAAACCCAAGCCUUCCUAAGAAUUCUGGAAAUGAGGGAUUGGGGCAGUGGUUCUUACCCACUGACCUCUGAAGUGGUCAAACCCACCCAAUGAUUUGUCUGGUCAGUUGCACCUAAUGUCACUGAGAAAAUCUAAAUCACUUUCUAGAGGAAAUGAGUCGGAAAUAGUGUUGCUUUCGCAGAGGCCCAAAUAAGGGACUGUCUUGUUUUAUUAGUUUAAGAUGUAUUAAUUAUUCUAGAAAUUAAAAUGUAGUAUUGGGGAGUUCCCAUCAUGGCUCAGCGGAAACCUCAUAGGAACCAUGAAGUUGUGGGUUUCAUCCCUGGCCUUGCUCAGUGAGUUAAGGAUCUGGCGUUGCUGUGAGCUGUGGUAUAUAGGUUGUAGAUGUGGCUCAGAUCUGAUGUGGCUGUGGCUGUGGGGUAAACCCACAGAUGUAGCUCCAAUUGGACCCCUAGCCUUGGAACGUCCAUAUGCCUACAGGUACGGCCC
This 7054-nucleotide long non-coding RNA is filed under the name Sus scrofa (pig). RNAcentral's name for it is "lncRNA (ENSSSCG00000061570.1)". The record is from RNAcentral. Lineage: Eukaryota; Metazoa; Chordata; Mammalia; Artiodactyla; Suidae.